This 489-nucleotide ribosomal RNA is filed under the name uncultured bacterium. RNAcentral describes it as "partial 16S ribosomal RNA". It matches the Rfam family "Bacterial small subunit ribosomal RNA", at positions 29 to 507 of the family's 1533-position model. The record is from RNAcentral.
AUGAACGCUAGCUACAGGCUUAACACAUGCAAGUCGCGGGGCAGCAUGGGGGUUGCUUGCAAUCCCCGAUGGCGACCGGCGCACGGGUGAGUAACGCGUAUCCAACCUGCCCUUCACCACGGGAUAACCCGGCGAAAGUCGGACUAAUACCGUAUGUUGUCCAUUGACGGCAUCCGAUUUGGACGAAAGGCUUGGCGGUGAGGGAUGGGGAUGCGUCCGAUUAGCCAGACGGCGGGGUAACGGCCCACCGUGGCUACGAUCGGUAGGGGUUCUGAGAGGAAGGUCCCCCACACUGGAACUGAGACACGGUCCAGACUCCUACGGGAGGCAGCAGUGAGGAAUAUUGGUCAAUGGGCGUAAGCCUGAACCAGCCAAGUAGCGUGCAGGAUGACGGCCCUAUGGGUUGUAAACUGCUUCUAUGCGGGGAUAAAGUGGCCCACGUGUGGGCUUUUGCAGGUACCGCAUGAAUAAGGACCGGCUAAUUCCGUG